CACUCUUUAGGAAGAGGGUUUAGUGCUGGUAUGCCUAGAAAAAGCAGGGGAACCAGGAGUGGUGGGAAGCAAUUCAGGGAAUGAGCAGUGAGGGCUGGGAGAGUAAAGUCCAAAACUACUGGUUGAGGGUUUCUGGACGGAAACCCACAGUAGAAGGUGGGCCUGUUUCCCUACCAGUCACUGAAGAAGUGGCACCUGAGGCAGUGAAUGGGAAGACUGCCUAAGGCUGCUGAAGAAAAGACUUUGAUAUACCCUGAAAGGGUGGCAUGCGGACUGACCUGGCCAGAGGACUGAGUCAUGGAAAGGGCCCUGCAGUUGCUGGAGUGAGAGAAGGGCUGUGGAUCAGAGAAAGAGAUGGGAAUGGCUGUUGACCUAAUGCGCUAAUCCCCAAAGCAGCCAGGAGGAGGCAUCAGAUUAGCGGAGCUGGCACCUUUGUCACUCUUCCAGAUUUUGAAUCUUCAUAGUGGCACUUGUUUGUUGCACAAUUCUGCCCCCCCCCCCCCAAUGAAGAGGAUUAUGUUGCAGCAGGAUUCUAUCACUGCUCUCUCUGGUUGAGCUGCUGCAGUUAUUCAUGAGAGUGGUAGUCUGACUGGGCAGCCUUGCCCCCCACAGGAGAAUAGAGACAUGAAGCACCUGACCUACUACUCCACUGAGGCAACCCACAGCAGUUCAGACAAAUGCUGUUCAGUGAUUA
This is a long non-coding RNA of Mauremys reevesii (Reeves's turtle), 694 nucleotides long. RefSeq lists it as uncharacterized. The record is from RefSeq and is a predicted model, not a curated record. The transcript has 3 exons. NCBI's taxonomy places the organism in Eukaryota, Metazoa, Chordata, Testudines, Geoemydidae.